GUGCUAUUCUGUAAGAUCAAGCUAUAAGGUGGCUUGCAAAAUAAAACGAAGGGAUAGCAUUGGGAAUCUUGGAGAUCCCGUCUUUGCAAGCUAGGAAUGUUGAGUUCUGGAAACAGUUCUGGAAGUUAAAGCUGCCAAGCAAAAUUUUGGUGUUUUUAUGGAGUUUAUUUAAAGAGAAGCUUCCAUCCAAUGAUAAUCUCCAUAAACGACUAUCACACAUUGAUCCGGAGUGUAAAGCUUGUGGGAAUAGGGAGACCUUACAACAUAUUUUUUUCUCAAUGUCAAAAAGCACGGACUAUUUGGAUUCAUUCUCCAUUACGACUCAGAUCAGCUAUGUUUGCCCAUCUACCUUCGAUUGAUUGUUGGAAUGAACUUUGCUCUUGGAUAUUACAAGAUCCGAAUGGGCAGGAGUUCAUACAACAAUCAACAUUCAUUCUAUAGCACAUCUGGAAGAGUCGGAAUGCUCUAAUCUUUAGACAGGAAGAUCAGAAUUUUGCUGAUGUAAUCUUGCUAGCAGGUCGACAUCGGGAAGAAUUUCGAAGAGCUAAUGAACAGGAUAGAGCUUCCCCACAGAAGAAAAUACCACAAGUCCUAUCUUGGCAACCACCGCCUCCUUUAGUACUCAAAUUGAAUUUCGAUGCAGCUGUAGAUUAUAUCACUCGGAAGGGAGCAACAGCGUUUGUAAUUCGCAAUGAGAGGGGCCAUUUGUUAGACCGGAGAGCAAAGAUAUGGCCAACUAUUUCUGACCUGCUAAUCUUGGAAAGCAUGGCCUGCAGAGAGGCUGUCCUUUUUGUAAAGGAGAAAGGCUUAUCCAAGGUGAUUAUCGAGGGUGACUUUUCUAUUGUCUUUGCUGCACUUCAG
Molecule: unclassified non-coding RNA, 861 nt
Filed under: Hevea brasiliensis (rubber tree)
Lineage: Eukaryota; Viridiplantae; Streptophyta; Magnoliopsida; Malpighiales; Euphorbiaceae
Source: RNAcentral